This 549-nucleotide ribosomal RNA is filed under the name Naganishia albida. RNAcentral describes it as "eukaryotic LSU rRNA". The stretch from base 126 to 279 matches the Rfam family "5.8S ribosomal RNA". Lineage: Eukaryota; Fungi; Basidiomycota; Tremellomycetes; Filobasidiales; Filobasidiaceae. The record is from RNAcentral.
GGCACAUCAUAUCCAUAACACCUGUGCACUUGUCGGAUGGCUUAGUGAAGACCGCAAGGUUGAAUCUAUCCAUCUACUUUACAUAACAAUUCUGUAACAAAUGUAGUCUUAUUAUAACAUAAUAAAACUUUCAACAACGGAUCUCUUGGCUCUCGCAUCGAUGAAGAACGCAGCGAAAUGCGAUAAGUAAUGUGAAUUGCAGAAUUCAGUGAAUCAUCGAAUCUUUGAACGCACCUUGCGCUCCUUGGUAUUCCGAGGAGCAUGCCUGUUUGAGUGUCAUGAAAACCCUCAACCCUAGAUUGGUUAAAACCUUUCUUUGGUUUGGAUUUGGACGUUUGCCGAUGAUAAGUCGGCUCGUCUUAAAAGUAAUAGCUGGAUCUGUCUCGCGACAUGGUUUGACUUGGCGUAAUAAGUAUUUCGCUAAGGACAUCUUCGGAUGGCCGCGUUGCAGGACUAAAGACCGCUUUCUAAUCCAUUGAUCUUCGGAUUAAUACUCUUGACAUCUGGCCUCAAAUCAGGUAGGACUACCCGCUGAACUUAAGCAUAUCA